This 64-nucleotide microRNA precursor is filed under the name Ornithorhynchus anatinus (platypus). RNAcentral's name for it is "Oan-Mir-17-P4c_pre stem-loop". It matches the Rfam family "mir-17 microRNA precursor family", at positions 11 to 70 of the family's 80-position model. From Rfam's summary of the family: This family represents the microRNA (miRNA) precursor mir-17, family, which includes mir-20, mir-91, and mir-103. miRNAs are transcribed as ~70nt precursors (modelled here) and subsequently processed by the Dicer enzyme to give a ~22nt product. In this case the mature sequence comes from the 3' arm of the precursor. The extents of the hairpin precursors are not generally known and are estimated based on hairpin prediction. Lineage: Eukaryota; Metazoa; Chordata; Mammalia; Monotremata; Ornithorhynchidae. The record is from RNAcentral.
CAAAGUGCUCAUAGUGCAGGUAGUUUUUUUCAAUUGAUUCUACUGUAAUGUGGGCACUUACAGU